RNAcentral lists this non-coding RNA (159 nucleotides) under Cyanobium gracile. The record is from RNAcentral. Lineage: Bacteria; Bacillati; Cyanobacteriota; Cyanophyceae; Synechococcales; Prochlorococcaceae.
CGGGCACAAUGGGCGAACGGUUCCCGGGGUCCACCUCCGGGAGGAAACGAGGAAAGUCCGGUGCACGGCAGGGUUUUCCCUUCCACCAUUCCGGCGCUGUCCCGCAGCUGUGAUGGGGUCACCCUCAGCCAGAACGCUCGCCGUGAACCGUUCCUUCCA